RNAcentral lists this ribosomal RNA (253 nucleotides) under uncultured bacterium. Its description in RNAcentral is "partial 16S ribosomal RNA". It matches the Rfam family "Bacterial small subunit ribosomal RNA", at positions 524 to 776 of the family's 1533-position model. The record is from RNAcentral.
UACGUAGGGUGCAAGCGUUGUCCGGAAUUAUUGGGCGUAAAGAGCUCGUAGGCGGUUUGUCGCGUCUGCUGUGAAAACUCGGGGCUUAACCCCGGGCCUGCAGUGGGUACGGGCAGACUAGAGUGCGGUAGGGGAGACUGGAAUUCCUGGUGUAGCGGUGAAAUGCGCAGAUAUCAGGAGGAACACCGGUGGCGAAGGCGGGUCUCUGGGCCGUACCUGACGCUGAGGAGCGAAAGCAUGGGGAGCGAACAGG